This 676-nucleotide ribosomal RNA is filed under the name Bacillus amyloliquefaciens. RNAcentral describes it as "bacterial SSU rRNA". It matches the Rfam family "Bacterial small subunit ribosomal RNA", at positions 61 to 719 of the family's 1533-position model. Lineage: Bacteria; Bacillati; Bacillota; Bacilli; Caryophanales; Bacillaceae. The record is from RNAcentral.
GUCGAGCGGACAGAUGGGAGCUUGCUCCCUGAUGUUAGCGGCGGACGGGUGAGUAACACGUGGGUAACCUGCCUGUAAGACUGGGAUAACUCCGGGAAACCGGGGCUAAUACCGGAUGGUUGUUUGAACCGCAUGGUUCAGACAUAAAAGGUGGCUUCGGCUACCACUUACAGAUGGACCCGCGGCGCAUUAGCUAGUUGGUGAGGUAACGGCUCACCAAGGCAACGAUGCGUAGCCGACCUGAGAGGGUGAUCGGCCACACUGGGACUGAGACACGGCCCAGACUCCUACGGGAGGCAGCAGUAGGGAAUCUUCCGCAAUGGACGAAAGUCUGACGGAGCAACGCCGCGUGAGUGAUGAAGGUUUUCGGAUCGUAAAGCUCUGUUGUUAGGGAAGAACAAGUGCCGUUCAAAUAGGGCGGCACCUUGACGGUACCUAACCAGAAAGCCACGGCUAACUACGUGCCAGCAGCCGCGGUAAUACGUAGGUGGCAAGCGUUGUCCGGAAUUAUUGGGCGUAAAGGGCUCGCAGGCGGUUUCUUAAGUCUGAUGUGAAAGCCCCCGGCUCAACCGGGGAGGGUCAUUGGAAACUGGGGAACUUGAGUGCAGAAGAGGAGAGUGGAAUUCCACGUGUAGCGGUGAAAUGCGUAGAGAUGUGGAGGAACACCAGUGGCGAA